GGCGACAAAUACAUGGUGCAGAAACGUUAC
This 30-nucleotide non-coding RNA is filed under the name Mus musculus (house mouse). Lineage: Eukaryota; Metazoa; Chordata; Mammalia; Rodentia; Muridae. The record is from RNAcentral.